AAUUAUUUCAAUUUUCUUUCACAAUACUAUUACACUAUAAUUAAAAUUAUUUUUUCAUUAUUCAUUACUAAAACAAAUCUUUUUAUAAUUAUUUUUAAUAAUUUAAUUUUUAAAAAAUAUAAAUUAAUAAAUAAAAUAUAAUCAAUUUAUAUUGAUUUGCACAAAAAUCUUUUCAAUGUAAAUGAAAUGCUUUACUUAAUAAGCUUUAAAUUGCAUUCUAGGUACACUUUCCAGUACAUCUACUAUGUUACGACUUAUCUUACCUUAAUAGUAAGAGUGACGGGCGAUGUGUGCAUAUUUUAGAGCUAAAAUCAAAUUAUUAAUCUUUAUAAUUUUACUAUCAAAUCCACCUUCAAUAAACAUUUCAAAUUUAUAUCCAUAUAAAUAAUUUUAUUGUAACCCAUUUCUACUUAAAUAUAAGCUACACCUUGAUCUGAUAUAUUUUCUUUUAAAAAAUUAUGAAAAUUAACAUUCUUAUAAAAUAUUCUAAUAACGACGGUAUAUAAACUGAUUACAAAUUUAAGUAAGGUCCAUCGUGGAUUAUCGAUUAUAGAACAGGUUCCUCUGAAUAGACUAAAAUACCGCCAAAUUUUUUAAGUUUCAAGAACAUAACUA
Molecule: ribosomal RNA, 615 nt
Filed under: Pogonota sahlbergi
Lineage: Eukaryota; Metazoa; Arthropoda; Insecta; Diptera; Scathophagidae
Description: partial 12S ribosomal RNA
Source: RNAcentral